This 87-nucleotide transfer RNA is filed under the name Chloroflexota bacterium. Its description in RNAcentral is "Chloroflexi bacterium tRNA-Tyr". It matches the Rfam family "tRNA". Rfam says of the family: Transfer RNA (tRNA) molecules are approximately 80 nucleotides in length. Their secondary structure includes four short double-helical elements and three loops (D, anti-codon, and T loops). Lineage: Bacteria; Bacillati; Chloroflexota. The record is from RNAcentral. RNAcentral also lists the same sequence under 1 other name.
GGAGGGGUGGGUGAGUGGCUAAUACCAACAGACUGUAAAUCUGUCGCCCUAAGGGCUACGCAGGUUCGAAUCCUGCCCCCUCCACCA